RNAcentral lists this ribosomal RNA (725 nucleotides) under uncultured Citricoccus sp. Its description in RNAcentral is "bacterial SSU rRNA". It matches the Rfam family "Bacterial small subunit ribosomal RNA", at positions 780 to 1500 of the family's 1533-position model. The record is from RNAcentral. Lineage: Bacteria; Bacillati; Actinomycetota; Actinomycetes; Micrococcales; Micrococcaceae.
AGAUACCCUGGUAGUCCAUGCCGUAAACGUUGGGCACUAGGUGUGGGGGACAUUCCACGUUUUCCGCGCCGUAGCUAACGCAUUAAGUGCCCCGCCUGGGGAGUACGGCCGCAAGGCUAAAACUCAAAGGAAUUGACGGGGGCCCGCACAAGCGGCGGAGCAUGCGGAUUAAUUCGAUGCAACGCGAAGAACCUUACCAAGGCUUGACAUGUUCCUGACCGCCGUAGAGAUACGGUUUCCCCUUUGGGGCAGGUUCACAGGUGGUGCAUGGUUGUCGUCAGCUCGUGUCGUGAGAUGUUGGGUUAAGUCCCGCAACGAGCGCAACCCUCGUUCCAUGUUGCCAGCACGUAGUGGUGGGGACUCAUGGGAGACUGCCGGGGUCAACUCGGAGGAAGGUGGGGACGACGUCAAAUCAUCAUGCCCCUUAUGUCUUGGGCUUCACGCAUGCUACAAUGGCCGGUACAAUGGGUUGCGAUACUGUGAGGUGGAGCUAAUCCCAAAAAGCCGGUCUCAGUUCGGAUUGGGGUCUGCAACUCGACCCCAUGAAGUCGGAGUCGCUAGUAAUCGCAGAUCAGCAACGCUGCGGUGAAUACGUUCCCGGGCCUUGUACACACCGCCCGUCAAGUCACGAAAGUUGGUAACACCCGAAGCCGGUGGCCUAACCCUUGUGGGGGGAGCCGUCGAAGGUGGGACUGGCGAUUGGGACUAAGUCGUAACAAGGUAGC